GGAAUAUUGGUCAAUGGACGAGAGUCUGAACCAGCCAAGUAGCGUGCAGGAUGACGGCCCUAUGGGUUGUAAACUGCUUUUAUACGGGGAUAAAGUCACCCACGUGUGGGUGUUUGUAGGUACUAUAUGAAUAAGGACCGGCUAAUUCCGUGCCAGCAGCCGCGGUAAUACGGAAGGUCCGGGCGUUAUCCGGAUUUAUUGGGUUUAAAGGGAGCGCAGGCUGAUGAUUAAGCGUGACGUGAAAUGUCCCGGCUCAACCGUGGAACUGCGUCGCGAACUGGUUUUCUUGAGUGAGUUCGAUGUUGGCGGAAUUCGUGGUGUAGCGGUGAAAUGCUUAGAUAUCACGAAGAACUCCGAUUGCGAAGGCAGCCAACAAGGCCUUUACUGACGCUAAAGCUUGAAGGUGCGGGUAUCGAACA
This 419-nucleotide ribosomal RNA is filed under the name uncultured Prevotella sp. Its description in RNAcentral is "bacterial SSU rRNA". It matches the Rfam family "Bacterial small subunit ribosomal RNA", at positions 358 to 774 of the family's 1533-position model. Lineage: Bacteria; Pseudomonadati; Bacteroidota; Bacteroidia; Bacteroidales; Prevotellaceae. The record is from RNAcentral.